UUGCAAGAAGACAUCAAAAUCCUUUGAUGGAGAACUCGGCCCAAGGAUCAAUAAUGCCAUCAUGAAGUUUGAUUCUUCCAUGCAUACCCAUGGUGGUAUGUUAUACUCCCUCCAUCCCAAAUUGUAAGUCAUUCCAAGAAUUUUGGAGAGUCAAAGUAUCUCAAGUUUGAUCAAAUUGAUAUGAUAAUAUAAUAACAUUUAUGAUGUCAACUAAGUAUCAUUAGAUUCUUCAUCAAUUAUAUUUUCAUAGUACACCUAUUUGAUGUCAUGAAUCUUUAUAAUUUUCUCUAUAAUUUUGAUCAAACUUGAGAUGUUUUGACUCUCUAAGAUUCAUAAAAUGACUUACAAUUUGGGAUGGAGGGAGUACGGCACAACAAAUACUGGACACAUACUAUAUGAGUUGGUCAUGUUGCCAAAUGGAUUGAAACCAUCGGUUGCAAGGCCAAGUCUAAUGUUCCUAGCAUCUUUUGCAAAUUCCAACCAAUUAUUAUCGAAGUCUUUCCCUGCCUCACCAUCAGUUGGAUGACUAAGCUC
This 534-nucleotide long non-coding RNA is filed under the name Setaria italica (foxtail millet). Its description in RNAcentral is "long non-coding RNA (SITA_LNC004410)". The record is from RNAcentral. Lineage: Eukaryota; Viridiplantae; Streptophyta; Magnoliopsida; Poales; Poaceae.